RNAcentral lists this ribosomal RNA (525 nucleotides) under Triticum aestivum (bread wheat). RNAcentral's name for it is "partial small subunit ribosomal RNA". The record is from RNAcentral. Lineage: Eukaryota; Viridiplantae; Streptophyta; Magnoliopsida; Poales; Poaceae.
AUGCACGUAGGAUCCGAUAAUGACACCUUGGAGGAUGACAAGGAAGCAAUCAUGUCGUCUGCUAUACCUAGCAAGGUUGAUCCAUUAGACUUUGUCUACACAAACUUCCCAGACACCACUCACAUCCUGAAGCUCGACUCAAACUGCAAACAAUGCAAGGACAAAAAGUUUGUGUCUGAGACUGACGGUUUCUACUGUCGCAAUGGCCAGAUCAAACUUAGAAAACCGGAGCCAAUCCCAGAGCUGAUGAGGCUAUGGUCAAGCAUGGAUGCAGACUCUAGACAUUUUCGGGAGAACAUACGCUUCUUCAACGGGCAUUUCGCCUUCACAACCCUUGGCGUCAGCCUUGAUGAGAACUACACAAACAUGAAGUCUGGGGUGUACACAUUCCGGGCACAUGGCACCAUCUACCACAAUGUGCAUUCGUUCGGGCCUAGCUCCCGUCCUGAGCAUCUGAAGUUGUACUUCUAUGAUGAUGACCCAACCAUCACUCAUUGUAAGGCGGCCACCAAGCAAUUAGACUAG